This 484-nucleotide ribosomal RNA is filed under the name uncultured bacterium. RNAcentral describes it as "partial 16S ribosomal RNA". It matches the Rfam family "Bacterial small subunit ribosomal RNA", at positions 30 to 507 of the family's 1533-position model. The record is from RNAcentral.
AUUGAACGCUGGCGGCAGGCCUAACACAUGCAAGUCGAGCGGAUGAAGGGAGCUUGCUCCUGGAUUCAGCGGCGGACGGGUGAGUAAUGCCUAGGAAUCUGCCUGGUAGUGGGGGAUAACGUCCGGAAACGGGCGCUAAUACCGCAUACGUCCUGAGGGAGAAAGUGGGGGAUCUUCGGACCUCACGCUAUCAGAUGAGCCUAGGUCGGAUUAGCUAGUUGGUGGGGUAAAGGCCUACCAAGGCGACGAUCCGUAACUGGUCUGAGAGGAUGAUCAGUCACACUGGAACUGAGGCACGGUCCAGACUCCUACGGGAGGCAGCAGUGGGGAAUAUUGAACAAUGGGCGAAAGCCUGAUCCAGCCAUGCCGCGUGUGUGAAGAAGGUCUUCGGAUUGUAAAGCACUUUAAGUUGGGAGGAAGGGCAGUAAGUUAAUACCUUGCUGUUUUGACGUUACCAACAGAAUAAGCACCGGCUAACUUCGUG